ACUCAAAGGAAUUGACGGGGGCCCGCACAAGCGGUGGAUGAUGUGGAUUAAUUCGAUGCAACGCGAAAAACCUUACCUACCCUUGACAUGCCCGGAAGCAGGUAGAGAUAUCUGGGUGCCCGAAAGGGAACCGGGACACAGGUGCUGCAUGGCUGUCGUCAGCUCGUGUCGUGAGAUGUUGGGUUAAGUCCCGCAACGAGCGCAACCCUUGCCAUUAGUUGCUACAUUCAGUUGGGCACUCUAAUGGGACUGCCGGUGACAAACCGGAGGAAGGUGGGGAUGACGUCAAGUCCUCAUGGCCCUUAUGGGUAGGGCUUCACACGUCAUACAAUGGCGCAUACAGAGGGUUGCCAACCCGCGAGGGGGAGCCAAUCCCAGAAAGUGCGUCGUAGUCCGGAUUGCAGUCUGCAACUCGACUGCAUGAAGUCGGAAUCGCUAGUAAUCGCGGAUCAGCAUGUCGCGGUGAAUACGUUCCCGGGCCUUGUACACACCGCCCGU
Molecule: ribosomal RNA, 498 nt
Filed under: uncultured bacterium
Lineage: Bacteria
Description: partial 16S ribosomal RNA
Rfam family: Bacterial small subunit ribosomal RNA
Source: RNAcentral